AUUGAACGCUGGCGGCAGGCCUAACACAUGCAAGUCGAACGGUAACAGGAAGAAGCUUGCUUCUUUGCUGACGAGUGGCGGACGGGUGAGUAAUGUCUGGGAAACUGCCUGAUGGAGGGGGAUAACUACUGGAAACGGUAGCUAAUACCGCAUAACGUCGCAAGCCCAAAGAGGGGGACCUUCGGGCCUCUUGCCAUCGGAUGUGCCCAGAUGGGAUUAGCUAGUAGGUGGGGUAACGGCUCACCUAGGCGACGAUCCCUAGCUGGUCUGAGAGGAUGACCAGCCACACUGGAACUGAGACACGGUCCAGACUCCUACGGGAGGCAGCAGUGGGGAAUAUUGCACAAUGGGCGCAAGCCUGAUGCGGCCAUGCCGCGUGUAUGAAGAAGGCCUUCGGGUUGUAAAGUACUUUCAGCGGGGAGGAAGGGAGUAAAGUUAAUACCUGUGCUCAUUGACGGUACCCGCAGAAGAAGCACCGGCUAACUCCGUG
Molecule: ribosomal RNA, 490 nt
Filed under: uncultured bacterium
Lineage: Bacteria
Description: partial 16S ribosomal RNA
Rfam family: Bacterial small subunit ribosomal RNA
Source: RNAcentral